GGAGCUAAUACCGGAUAAUAUUUUGAACCGCAUGGUUCAAAAGUGAAAGACGGUCUUGCUGUCACUUAUAGAUGGAUCCGCGCUGCAUUAGCUAGUUGGUAAGGUAACGGCUUACCAAGGCAACGAUGCAUAGCCGACCUGAGAGGGUGAUCGGCCACACUGGAACUGAGACACGGUCCAGACUCCUACGGGAGGCAGCAGCG
This 203-nucleotide ribosomal RNA is filed under the name uncultured Staphylococcus sp. RNAcentral's name for it is "partial 16S ribosomal RNA". It matches the Rfam family "Bacterial small subunit ribosomal RNA", at positions 159 to 356 of the family's 1533-position model. The record is from RNAcentral. Lineage: Bacteria; Bacillati; Bacillota; Bacilli; Caryophanales; Staphylococcaceae.